RNAcentral lists this ribosomal RNA (253 nucleotides) under uncultured bacterium. Its description in RNAcentral is "partial 16S ribosomal RNA". It matches the Rfam family "Bacterial small subunit ribosomal RNA", at positions 524 to 776 of the family's 1533-position model. The record is from RNAcentral.
UACGAAGGGGGCUAGCGUUGCUCGGAAUCACUGGGCGUAAAGGGUGCGUAGGCGGGUCUUUAAGUCAGGGGUGAAAUCCUGGAGCUCAACUCCAGAACUGCCUUUGAUACUGAGGAUCUUGAGUUCGGGAGAGGUGAGUGGAACUGCGAGUGUAGAGGUGAAAUUCGUAGAUAUUCGCAAGAACACCAGUGGCGAAGGCGGCUCACUGGCCCAAUACUGACGCUGAUGCACGAAAGCGUGGGGAGCAAACAGG